Molecule: long non-coding RNA, 2736 nt
Filed under: Homo sapiens (human)
Lineage: Eukaryota; Metazoa; Chordata; Mammalia; Primates; Hominidae
Description: HSALNT0088024
Source: RNAcentral
CGGCCGGCCAACGCUGCGCCCCGCCCCCUACCGGGACCUAGGCGCUGAUUGGCCCCUGAGAGACCCUUUGCGCCCAGGCAUUGGUCCAGUGGCCGCCUGUCGACGAGGGGGCGGGACUCCGAGGGGUAGCGAUUCCCGUAACGCGGCUCUUCGCGUCCCGGAUUCCGGUGGCUGCGUCCGCGUCGCCUCUCCCAGACUAGAUCGAAGGGUUCCCCCCACCUCCCCUCUGUGGGCGGAAAGAGCGGAAUGUUCCAUUUUUCUGUGGAAUAACGGGGUCAUGAACUGGAGCCCGGGUGCUGCCCGCCGCCCGCUGCCCCCGCCCUCCCUUCUCGCCAGGGCGCCUGCGGCCUCUCUUCGCGGCCUUCCCCGAGGGACUCAGAGCCGCGAGGGACCGCCUAGCUCCCUUGGGGAUGGGGAAGGCGUGGGAGCCUCUUGGGGAAAGUGAAGAGCUCGGUGGCCGUGACUCCGCACGAGACUGCGGCAGAUUGUGGCGGCGGCUUCUCUCCAAGACUUACGUAAACGAGCCUUGCCACAGUACUUUUUUAAAUUAGUAAAUGAGUUUGGGUGCGAUUGAUCAGUGAGCCCCAGAGGUGGUGGCCCACCAAGCGACUAGUGUUUCUUUGCGGUUUGUACCUCCCCGUUUAUGAUAAAAAAUACCGGGUAAAAACCUAUUCAUCCCGCCUCCGCCCCCCCCUUUCCCUCAGAAAAUGGACCUCAAGGCUCAUGAUGUUUGUUUCUCCCCAAAGGAAGAUGAGAAUCUUGAGUUAAAAGAUAAGGCAUGAUUUACGGAAUGGCCAUCUUCCAUAAUUAACAAAUAAAUAAAUGAAAUUUAAUGUCAGGGUCAAAUGAAACUGGAAACAAAGCUUAUCUGGUGAUAUAUCAAAUUAUGAGAGUCAUUAUUUGGAUGUAAGGAUAUAUGACAGAUAGACUCUUAGGAGAAAUGCUAUGACCUCCUGCUUCUUGGUAUUCCUUGUGUGAUUUCCUCCUCUUGAGUGUGAAGGCAUGUAUGUCAUUGAGUUAUAUAAGAUAGUGCCCAUCUUGCUAGUGUCUCUCUCUCUCUUGUGGCUCUGAAAAAUCAAGCUGCCUGCCAUGUUUGAGCUUUGAUAUGGAAAGACCCACAUGUUAAGGAACUGAGGGCAGACUCUGCCAACAGCUAGCUUUGAAACUGAAUCUCCCGGCCAGGCACAGUGGCUCAUGCCUUUAAUCCCAGCACUUUGGGAGGCCAAGGUGGGUGGAUCACAAGGUCAGGAGUUCAAGACCAGCCUGGCCAAGAUGGUGAAACCCCAUCUCUACUAAAAAUACAAAAAUUAGCUGGGUGUGGUGGCAGGCACCUGUAAUCCCAGCUACCCAGGAGGCUGAGGGAGAGAAUUUCUUGAACCCAGGAGGCAGAGGUUGCAGUGAGCUGAGAUCACGCCACUGCACUCCAGCCUGGGUGGCAGAGCGAGACUCCAUCUCAAAAAAAAAAAAAAAAGAGAGAAAGAAACCAAAUCUCUCAGUCCUACAACCUCAAGGAACUGAAUUUUGCCAACAAAAGCAGAUCCUUCCCCAGUCAAGCCUCAGAUGAGACAGCAUCCUCAGCUAACAACUUGUUUGCAGCCUCAUGAGAACUGAAGCAGAGAACCCAGCUAAACUGUGCCUAGACUCCUGACCACAGAAACUGAGAUAAUAAAUGUGUGUUGUUUUAAGCUGCCAAGUAUGUGAUAAUUUGUUAUGUAGUGGAGAACUAAUACAACAGGGAAAAGUUAAAAGCUAUUCACAUAAAUAUUUAUAAUGGAUACUAUUUCUACACAUUUAAAUCAAGCUUCUCUUACGUUCAUAAGAAGAUACGAAUCUGGAGAAGGAAAUUAUAUCAAGCAGAACGCUGCUCUGGUGUUGUGAAGACGGGAUCCCACCAUUCUAAUGUAUUCAAUUUAUUUAUUCAAUAAGUUUUGAGCAUCAACUAUGUUCCAGGCACUGAGAUAUUAAUCUAAGGAAGACACACGUGUUGUCCUCAUUGAGGAGCUCAAAAGUCUAAUACAUAAACCAACAAUCAUACAAAAAUCAUAGCCAUGUUACAGUGCUAUGAGGAAGAUGUUAAGAGAAUAUUCUGGAAGUACUCAUACAUAAAUACUUCAGAAACUGGGCAUUAUAAGAAGUCAGUUGCCUCUCUCUACUUUCAGUUCUACAUUUUUAUACCUUGUAGUGGAUUUAAAAUGGCCACAAAUUCUUCAAUACUCUUCUAUGGAGAGAUUUGAGGGCUAUUUCCCUUCAUCUUGAAUUUAGGCAGGCUUGUUCAGGGUCUGGCUUUUAAGAGGAGCUUUCACCUUGGUCUGUGGAAGUCCUGAGUCACUGUGUACAAAGUCCAUCUACCUUAUUACACCAUCUGGAGAGAGCUGAGACUACAGGGAGAGGGGGAGUGGCCCGGCUGAUCCCAGUCUUCCUAGUGACCCUGCCCAGGAACUUGGCAUGUGAGUAAAGCCAUCUUGGAACCUCCAUACCAGACCAGCCACGAGAUGAAUAAUACUAACUGAUCCCAGUCAAUGCCACAUAGAGCAGAAGAACUGCCUAACUGAAUUCUUUCCAAACUGCUGACUCAAAAAUUUGUAUGGUAUAAUAAAAUGUUUGUUUUAAGUCACUGUUUUGUUAGGAGUAAUAAGCAACCAGAAUAAAAUUCUAAUCUUUAUCAUGUACCGUGCUGAAAAUCUGACCAUCUCACUCUCCUUAAAACUCCGUCAAUCCCUUCCCAUUACCCAAAUC